CCUGAUUUUGCCCUGACUCAGAAAAUAUAGAAAAACUGCCUGUGAAUUUGAGGCCUGUGGGAUUAGAACUUGAGAUGGGAGCUGGUUAAGAGGACGCCUCUCCUGCCCUCAGUUGCCCUCGGGCCAGAUCUGUCACCCCUUCCCCGUGCACCGAGUCUUCCUGCUGGUCUCUUUGGGUGAGCUGACUCUUCCAGCUAGGGAUCUUCUGAGGAGUCUUUAGAUGUCUUUAGAAGUCAGCGCUGCUCUUGGAGGAAGGCUGGACCCUGCAGAGCUGGGCGUCUUUGUUACCCAUGCAGGCUGGAGCCAAGCACGCGCCUGCUUAUUGGGGAUGCUGAAAAACCAGCAAUGCCUCCCUGUGCCUUCCCUAUCAAAAGAAAAUGGUUCUGCUUCAAUCACACCAAAUUGCAGUGAAAGGAAAACUCUUGGAAAGAGAAAAGUAGAACAUGAAAAAACAAAUACGUUCAGCUUGGAUUGGCUCAAAAUGCCAGUGUGUUUUCAGCCAGAGAAGGGAAUGCAGACACGAACAGUUCCAGAGAGGCUGAAAGCCACAUCUAUAACACGGAAAUGUUUAAAAAGAGGUAUUUGAACUGUCAUUUGUAUAUGUAUGUAAAGUGAUUAGUUAGGUUUAUGGAAGCAAUUUUAAAACCAAAACCUUAUUUCCAAUGUGGACRCUGUUCCUAUGCUCGAAGUCGAAUGAAAACAAUAAUAAUUUCACUUCUCCCCAAGUACCUAUUUGCAGCAGUGUAUUUUCAAGCCGGGGCUGCGCGGAGGUGCGCUGGCCAGCAGAGAGCAGCGCGGGCUCGCCGCUUUCCCGGCUCCGCUCCCGCAUGGAGGGCGAAGGCCGGCCGUGGGUCUGUCCCGGCCGUGGGUCCGGCCCCGGCCGCGCUCGCCACAUCGUCCGCGGAGCAGCCUUAAAGCUGAGUCAUUUGGCGCUUGCUCCUGCCUGAUCGAUGGCUGCCGAACGGCGCCCGAGCUUCGAAUCGGACCUGCCCUAUCGAAAGGUCUUUUUUCGUGUUCCAGAUGUUUGCAGAAGAUAGCUGGUGCUCUCGUGCGACACCCACGCAACUCUGAGCCGAGCGUUGCGGUAACAACGUGGCCGCUCCGUUAGAACCGCUCURACCUCUGCAAGCUGGAGCUGGCGAAAGGUUAUCUUGUCCGACCGGCUGUCCCCRGGAAAUGAACCUUUCCGCCCCUACAACUUGGCUUUCUGACAGGUUUUGUCUCCUACACUCUCCCAAUCCCAGAAGCUCAGCUGAGCCUCAUCCCGUAACUGGCUGUGAACCAAACCAAAC
This 1292-nucleotide long non-coding RNA is filed under the name Apteryx rowi (Okarito brown kiwi). RNAcentral describes it as "lncRNA (ENSARWG00000012291.1)". Lineage: Eukaryota; Metazoa; Chordata; Aves; Apterygiformes; Apterygidae. The record is from RNAcentral.